Molecule: long non-coding RNA, 727 nt
Organism: Lolium perenne
Lineage: Eukaryota; Viridiplantae; Streptophyta; Magnoliopsida; Poales; Poaceae
Source: RefSeq, a predicted model, not a curated record
AUCCUAGCUCCGCCACUGAACCCCGGUAUGGCGACGCGGCGCGCCCGCGAACAGCAACCGCCAUCAUCGCCGCCGUCGCUGGCUCCUGGCGUUCGAUGACCGCAGCUACGGCGAGGAGGUGCUCCAGGGGCCUCUGUUAAAUUGAUAGAACAAAAUAUCCAUACGGCUGAAAAUACAAAGCAAGGGAAGGAUCUGUAUGUGAGAAGGGGCAAGGUGGAUCCAACCAUUAUUAUUUUUGGAAUAACAUGGCACAGUAUCCAAACUGGAAAUACAAAGGCACUGAUUCGAUUUACUUCCCCACAAGUUAAAGGAGAAGAAGGGGCUGUGGUCUGUAUCUAUGACCAAAACCUCGCUGGGUGGCCACUUCUUGAUCAUGGAAUCUUGCUGCUGAGGGUCCAGCAUGUGGUCACGCUCCGUCUUUAUGAAAACCCGUUUUACUCGAUUCAAUCUCUCGUCAUCUCCUUCGAAGCUUGCAGUACCAAUAGCACUCACAGGCCAUGGUCGCAUCAGCAUUGAAGUCAGUAUUGAGUCCUGAACAAGAUAAAUACAUGUAUGUGUAAGAAAAACCCGCAUCGUUAUUUGCCUCUUAAAUGGAUUAUGACUCAUAGUUGUUCAGGAAUCAGGAAUGAUAGCAAUAUAUUUUCAUGGAAUAUCGAAAUUUAUGGCAACAGAAUCUGUACAACUUAAUGAAGUUGUGGAUGUGAUGAGCACAUUGGCUCAUGCAGUA